This 230-nucleotide ribosomal RNA is filed under the name uncultured bacterium. Its description in RNAcentral is "partial 16S ribosomal RNA". It matches the Rfam family "Bacterial small subunit ribosomal RNA", at positions 524 to 755 of the family's 1533-position model. The record is from RNAcentral.
GACAGAGGUGCCGAGCGUUAGGCGGAAUCACUGGGCUUAAAGCGUGUGUAGGCGGGUCGUUAAGUGCCUUGUGAAAUCCCACCGCUCACCGGUGGAACUGCUUGGCAUACUGGCGAUCUUGAGCCACUUAGGGGCAACCGGAACAAACGGUGGAGCGGUGAAAUGCGUAGAUAUCGAUCGAUGACGCCAGAGGUGAAAGCAGAUGACUGGGUCGUGGGGCGCCUGACGUG